This 581-nucleotide ribosomal RNA is filed under the name Hanseniaspora uvarum. RNAcentral's name for it is "partial large subunit ribosomal RNA". It matches the Rfam family "Eukaryotic large subunit ribosomal RNA", at positions 70 to 670 of the family's 3401-position model. The record is from RNAcentral. Lineage: Eukaryota; Fungi; Ascomycota; Saccharomycetes; Saccharomycodales; Saccharomycodaceae.
AGGGGUUACCUAGUACGGCGAGUGGCGGUAAAGCUCAAAUUUGAAAUCUGGUACUUUCAGUGCCCGAGUUGUAAUUUGUAGAAUUUGUCUUUGAUUAGGUCCUUGUCUAUGUUCCUUGGAACAGGACGUCAUAGAGGGUGAGAAUCCCGUUUGGCGAGGAUACCUUUUCUCUGUAAGACUUUUUCGAAGAGUCGAGUUGUUUGGGAAUGCAGCUCAAAGUGGGUGGUAAAUUCCAUCUAAAGCUAAAUAUUGGCGAGAGACCGAUAGCGAACAAGUACAGUGAUGGAAAGAUGAAAAGAACUUUGAAAAGAGAGUGAAAAAGUACGUGAAAUUGUUGAAAGGGAAGGGCAUUUGAUCAGACAUGGUGUUUUUUGCAUGCACUCGCCUCUCGUGGGCUUGGGCCUCUCAAAAAUUUCACUGGGCCAACAUCAAUUCUGGCAGCAGGAUAAAUCAUUAAGAAUGUAGCUACUUCGGUAGUGUUAUAGCUUUUUGGAAUACUGUUAGCCGGGAUUGAGGACUGCGCUUCGGCAAGGAUGUUGGCAUAAUGGUUAAAUGCCGCCCGUCUUGAACCACGGACCAAA